This 1090-nucleotide ribosomal RNA is filed under the name Microbacterium sp. LB3. Its description in RNAcentral is "bacterial SSU rRNA". It matches the Rfam family "Bacterial small subunit ribosomal RNA", at positions 327 to 1427 of the family's 1533-position model. The record is from RNAcentral. Lineage: Bacteria; Bacillati; Actinomycetota; Actinomycetes; Micrococcales; Microbacteriaceae.
CGGCCCAGACUCCUACGGGAGGCAGCAGUGGGGAAUAUUGCACAAUGGGCGGAAGCCUGAUGCAGCAACGCCGCGUGAGGGAUGACGGCCUUCGGGUUGUAAACCUCUUUUAGCAGGGAAGAAGCGAAAGUGACGGUACCUGCAGAAAAAGCGCCGGCUAACUACGUGCCAGCAGCCGCGGUAAUACGUAGGGCGCAAGCGUUAUCCGGAAUUAUUGGGCGUAAAGAGCUCGUAGGCGGUUUGUCGCGUCUGCUGUGAAAUCCCGAGGCUCAACCUCGGGCCUGCAGUGGGUACGGGCAGACUAGAGUGCGGUAGGGGAGAUUGGAAUUCCUGGUGUAGCGGUGGAAUGCGCAGAUAUCAGGAGGAACACCGAUGGCGAAGGCAGAUCUCUGGGCCGUAACUGACGCUGAGGAGCGAAAGGGUGGGGAGCAAACAGGCUUAGAUACCCUGGUAGUCCACCCCGUAAACGUUGGGAACUAGUUGUGGGGUCCAUUCCACGGAUUCCGUGACGCAGCUAACGCAUUAAGUUCCCCGCCUGGGGAGUACGGCCGCAAGGCUAAAACUCAAAGGAAUUGACGGGGACCCGCACAAGCGGCGGAGCAUGCGGAUUAAUUCGAUGCAACGCGAAGAACCUUACCAAGGCUUGACAUAUACGAGAACGGGCCAGAAAUGGUCAACUCUUUGGACACUCGUAAACAGGUGGUGCAUGGUUGUCGUCAGCUCGUGUCGUGAGAUGUUGGGUUAAGUCCCGCAACGAGCGCAACCCUCGUUCUAUGUUGCCAGCACGUAAUGGUGGGAACUCAUGGGAUACUGCCGGGGUCAACUCGGAGGAAGGUGGGGAUGACGUCAAAUCAUCAUGCCCCUUAUGUCUUGGGCUUCACGCAUGCUACAAUGGCCGGUACAAAGGGCUGCAAUACCGCGAGGUGGAGCGAAUCCCAAAAAGCCGGUCCCAGUUCGGAUUGAGGUCUGCAACUCGACCUCAUGAAGUCGGAGUCGCUAGUAAUCGCAGAUCAGCAACGCUGCGGUGAAUACGUUCCCGGGUCUUGUACACACCGCCCGUCAAGUCAUGAAAGUCGGUAACACCUGAAGC